This 467-nucleotide ribosomal RNA is filed under the name uncultured bacterium. RNAcentral's name for it is "bacterial SSU rRNA". It matches the Rfam family "Bacterial small subunit ribosomal RNA", at positions 329 to 794 of the family's 1533-position model. The record is from RNAcentral.
CCCCAGACUCCUACGGGAGGCAGCAGUGAGGAAUAUUGGUCAAUGGGCGCGAGCCUGAACCAGCCAAGUCGCGUGAGGGAUGACGGCCCUACGGGUUGUAAACCUCUUUUGUCGGGGAGCAAAAGACGCCACGCGUGGCGUUCCGAGAGUACCCGAAGAAAAAGCAUCGGCUAACUCCGUGCCAGCAGCCGCGGUAAUACGGAGGAUGCGAGCGUUAUCCGGAUUUAUUGGGUUUAAAGGGUGCGCAGGCGGAAUGUCAAGUCAGCGGUAAAAUUUCGGGGCUCAACCCCGUCGUGCCGUUGAAACUGGCGUUCUUGAGUGAGCGAGAAGUAUGCGGAAUGCGUGGUGUAGCGGUGAAAUGCAUAGAUAUCACGCAGAACUCCGAUUGCGAAGGCAGCAUACCGGCGCUCAACUGACGCUCAUGCACGAAAGCGUGGGUAUCGAACAGGAUUAGAUACCCGGGUAAG